GGCAGAGGUGCCAAGCGUUAGGCGGAAUCACUGGGCGUAAAGGGUGCGUAGGCGGGUCUUUAAGUCAGGGGUGAAAUCCUGGAGCUCAACUCCAGAACUGCCUUUGAUACUGAGGAUCUUGAGUUCGGGAGAGGUGAGUGGAACUGCGAGUGUAGAGGUGAAAUUCGUAGAUAUUCGCAAGAACACCAGUGGCGAAGGCGGCUCACUGGCCCGAUACUGACGCUGAGGCACGAAAGCGUGGGGAGCAAACAGG
This 253-nucleotide ribosomal RNA is filed under the name uncultured bacterium. RNAcentral describes it as "partial 16S ribosomal RNA". It matches the Rfam family "Bacterial small subunit ribosomal RNA", at positions 524 to 776 of the family's 1533-position model. The record is from RNAcentral.